UCUCUGUACAGCUUCAGGACACCAUCUUUCUGAUGACAUUUCAUGUCACAGUCACUGAUGUCUGAACCUCUCCGCACAUAGACUUUUCCUGAUGAGAGUGAUAGUACUGUCAGGAUGGUGAGGACACCUGUGUGCGGUGCUCGGGGAGACAUCAGGGCGGGGGCCGUUCUCCUCCUCGCUCUGAUUUACACUGACAGGACAUGGACCUGCGG
Molecule: long non-coding RNA, 212 nt
Organism: Bufo bufo (common toad)
Lineage: Eukaryota; Metazoa; Chordata; Amphibia; Anura; Bufonidae
Exons: 3
Source: RefSeq, a predicted model, not a curated record